This 415-nucleotide ribosomal RNA is filed under the name Acrapex rhabdoneura. RNAcentral describes it as "partial 16S large subunit ribosomal RNA". The record is from RNAcentral. Lineage: Eukaryota; Metazoa; Arthropoda; Insecta; Lepidoptera; Noctuidae.
GGGCUGCAGUAUAUUGACUGUACAAAGGUAGCAUAAUCAUUAGUCAUUUAAUUGAUGACUUGUAUGAAGGAUUGGAUGAAAUAUAAACUGUUUCUUAAUUAAAUAUAGAAUUUAAUUUUUUAAUUAAAAAGUUAAAAUUAAUUAAAAAGACGAGAAGACCCUAUAGAGUUUUAUAAAUAAAUUAAUUAAGAUUAUUUAUAAAAAUAAAAUUGAAAUUAAUUUAUUUAUUUUGUUGGGGUGAUAAAAAAAUAAAUAUAACUUUUUUUUUUAUUUUAACAUUUAUAAGUGAUUAUUUGAUCCAAUAUUAUUGAUUAUAAGAAAAAAUUACCUUAGGGAUAACAGCGUAAUUUUUUUUUUUAGUUCACAUAAAAAAAAGAGUUUGCGACCUCGAUGUUGGAUUAAGAUAAAAUUUAAA